AUCCCAUUUGAAUUUCAAUUCAAAUUGAGAUGAAGAGAUAAAAGCCCAUUUGUAUUUGAAGGGACUUAUCCCCAUGUGGAUGAGGAUAAGGGCUUCCACCCUGUUUGAAUUCAAAUGAAGGGAGAUUAGAUGAGGGCCACACCACAUCUGAUUUUUGUUUGACAAAAUGGCAUGAAGAAUGAGAGAGAGGGGGCACCACAUGCUAAGGAGUCCUGCUUUAAGUCAUUUGAUGACUUAAAGCCCUAAGAAUCUUAAGUUUCUAAAUCUAUAAAUAGGCACCCCUGCAAAAGGUUUAAAUGAUCAGAAAAUUCAGAACCUCUCCUCUCCUCUCCACGCCAUCUCUCUCUCCUCUCUACUCUCCUCCUCAUCUCCCAUGCCCAAAGGAAUUGGGCUGAUCCAUCUAGUGCACUCAUAGAAAUGGGGGUUGGUCGACCUAUGCGAAGGAAGAAGAAGGCUGCGAUCCAGAGUUGAUCGAGAUCCUAUCGAAAAUCUGAUCGAAGGUAGAUCCAAAAGCUUAUUGAUCCAUAUUAGUGAAGGUGGAUCGAAGUCAGAGAAAGUAUCCUAGUCCGAGCUCGAGUGGAUGCCUAUAGAGAUUGGACACAUGUGUGGCUUAACAGCGAACCUCAAUUCCACGAUCAUCGGACAGGAUGU
RNAcentral lists this long non-coding RNA (651 nucleotides) under Elaeis guineensis (African oil palm). Its description in RNAcentral is "long non-coding RNA (EGUI_LNC038566)". The record is from RNAcentral. Lineage: Eukaryota; Viridiplantae; Streptophyta; Magnoliopsida; Arecales; Arecaceae.